This 455-nucleotide long non-coding RNA is filed under the name Equus asinus (donkey). Its description in RNAcentral is "lncRNA (ENSEASG00005024264.1)". Lineage: Eukaryota; Metazoa; Chordata; Mammalia; Perissodactyla; Equidae. The record is from RNAcentral.
CUGAGAUCUCGGUGUUGAGAAAGAGGGGGAGCUCCGCUGUUUCCUGUGCUGUAGCUCCCGUUGCAGCGGCGCCCGUGGCAGCCCUGGCGGACGCAGGAGCGAUGGCAGCGACCGAUAUAGCUCGCCAGGUGGUGAGUGCGGGGCUUGGGUGCCAGCGCCGGGGCCCGGGCUGGGGGCAUGGGAAGGACCGAGGGGACCUGACCGCGAGGAGGGCAGUGGGCAGCAUCCAGGAGCCAAGGCAUGGCGAGACUUCUGCUCCCGGGAUCAGCGGCUCAGUCCCGCAGCCUGUCUCCGAGAACGGUGGCGGCGGGGCCGGGUGGGGGCCUGGCCCAGGCUGCAGGCGGGCUGCUGAACUCGCCUUGCCCAGGAGCUGCAGUAAGCGCCGCCGCCUCCCUCGCUGCAGCUGCGGUCCCGUCGCUGGGGCGUUGCCGAAUGAAUGGCCGCGCGAGCCGCCG